AGAGAAACGAACUAACUUUUAAUGGAAUUUCUUUGAUGCAUGCAUUAUCCAGGUCAGAAGAUUUGCUCUCAGUACUUUUGAGAAGCCUUGAUCACCUUUCACAUCUGCAAUUUUGAUGAGAUGAGUUAAAGGCCAUCCUUAUUGAAGAAUAUCAAACCUAAUGAUAUGCAUGUGAUAUUUUGAUGUUGGAUACCUGUCCAUCUUUGGAGUUAUUUUCUUAUUUAAUCAGAGGACCUCACUUCAUGAGAGCCAUUGCGAGAACUAGAAACUCUUUAGUUUCUCCUUUUUCCCAUUGCAUUGAUAGGGAAUCGAAACUUUACUGCACUCUCUUUAUAAGAGAAUUCAGGAGAUCAUAUAGAGGUAAAUAGAUGCAUUAGACUUUUAGAUACGUGGCAUUAGUCAUUAUAUUCAGCACCUUCCAUAAGUCCAAUUUUCCAUUUCAACUGGGAUAAGUGGUUCAUUAUAUUGAUUCUUUUUUGUAUUCAGGACUUUGGAAUACUGAUACAAAUUGUGUUUUUCUUUUCUGUCCAAUUCAAUACCAUAUGUCAUCAAAUUCUUUGCUAUUCAAUUCCAUCUUCCCUUCCCAGAAUCACGUAGACACAAUCAAAUGCAUAGCAUUUGAGUUCUUAGUUUUGUAUUGAUGACUUUAAAGGAUGGCUGAUGAGGAAGGACAUUCUAUCAGGAUGGACGGCUUGUGAAGGCUCAUAAUUACAAAGGAGUGAUUUUGGUGUAAAUUACUCAGUCCCUUAAUAUGAUGUGGCAGCUCGGUGUGAUAAAUGUUUGCUAUACAAGGGUAGCAUCCCCACUAACUUGGAUAUGCCUGAGUUACAAAUUGUCCAAAACGUUGAAACCGAUGAAUGAACUGAGGCACAACAGCCCAUUCAUCCUUGCACCAAAAACCAACUCUACUGUCCUUUUAUUGAGUUUGAUUCUGUUGUCAGUUGAAAGUUGCAAUUGAAGAAAGUUCCAUGAAAUAUAUGGAAGCUCUAAAGCACUUGGUGUUUCCUAUCCUCUGGUUUUGGUGACUGGUUAUAUCCAUUAACCACACCUGAGACAAAUUAGUUCCAACCUGAUUUGUUUUCCAGACAGUUGACAUUGGAGCAAUUUGAGAUCUUUAAUCUUCAACAGGUCCAAUAUUACCAGAAUAUGCAUCUUUUAUACCUUUGCUUGUUUUAUUUCUUCAAAUGUGUAUUUGAUGGAUGCUUAUACCUCUUCUUGGUACAAGUUCCUAACAGAUUUUGCUUCUAACUCAUGUGCUUCAUCUUUGUUCGCAGUAUGUGAUGAAUACUGCCUCAAUUUGCCCUUCAUCUUACGGGCUGAUAGCUCUGUUCAAGGAUCAUAGAUCUUGUGAUUUAGGGACUUGUUUUAUUGAUGCAACAGCAGCAAACUACAAUAUGCAUAUUUUCUGCAUGAUUGAAUCAUCUAGGAACCUUAUUCAUCAAAUUGAAGCAGAUAAAAAAUCUUUCUUCACACUGACAUUCAACAAUAUUUUUAAAGUACAGACAAACUGCAGAGUUUCGACGAUUUUAUUGGCAUGAUCCUUGGACCAUGGACAUGCUAACAACAUUUCUUGUUCAUAGCUGCAUCUAAAACUUACAUAUGGUAACCUAGAGAAGGGUGAGUCAUUGAGUUCCUUUUUCAUUGUAAAGCUGACUACAAAGAUUACUUGAGCAUUAAUGAGGAUAGUUGGAAUUAAAUCAGGGAUUCAGGAUAUUGUAAAGGUGUGCUUAGAUGCCUUUUUGGACACGCCUAAGUUGUGAAAUGGCUCAAGGCCUGUUUGGUAAGGAGUUAUAAUUUUGUAAGGAAAAUUACAUGUCAAUGAUUAUUAUGGUGAUCGAACUUUGUCUCCGAGCAUGUGUUUUUCUUCAUAAAAUUUCAUUGUCACUUUCCUAAGUGGUGAUGGAAAUAUGUGAUGAAACGAUGUGGGGAUGGACAAACCUAACCAUUUGGCAUAAUGCCAUAAUGGCAUGAGACUCUCUUAACAAGAUUAAUCCCCUAUAAUACAGACCGUUUAAGCCAAAUGUGAUGUUUUGCUAACUAUUUAGGAGGAAAUGUCAAAUGUGGCAUUUGAAUUUGUUGGGGAUUAUAAAUUGAUUGAACAUGCCUUAUUAGUAAUGUCCAGUCUUACUAGUAGAGGGUUUCUAAACAGUCAAGUUCAAGUUUAGGAAAAAGCUCUAAAUUGUUGGCUAGAGUAGUUAGGAAUUAUUUAUCUUUUAAGAGGUAUAUAUUGUGUGUAAACUUCUAAAGGAUGAUUGUGAUACACAAAGAAACUGUAAUGAAUUGUUGUCUUUGUGUUUCCAAUCUACCAUACACAAUAAAAACUAAUGGUCGAACAACUAAGAGAAUCUUCAAUAACAAACUAAUUGUCUAAUAAUUAGAUUGUCAUGUCAAGUAAGAAUUCAAGCUACUCUAUUUUAGCUAGUUUGUACCCAAAUUAUAGUAAUUAGCUAGUGUCUAUUAACAUUUUUGUCAAGCAAUUUAGUUUAGCCAAGUCCAAUUUCAAUUCCUAACUACCACCAUUGUAGUACCAAAGAAGGCCAAAAAGGGAUUGGCUCAUGCAAAAUGGUCAUAAUCCAUUGUUGAAUGAGCGAACUUCAAAUGUAUUUACUCCUUUUGGCCCACUAAGAUUGUUUCAUACUCCUAAAUAACUCGUGUGCUACCACAUAAAGACAAAACCAGAAAUGUCACAAGUUUGGAUGCAAAUCAACUUAUAAAAAAUAAACUAAGGGGUAUGGGACAAUCUUAAGUAGAAUGGAGGGAUAGUUAAUGGAUCUAAGAGGACAUGAGUCACUAUCGAACCAAUAUUUAGUUAGACUAAGUUUUACUUCUUUCUCUCUUUCUUUGUAAAUUCUAGCCUUAUGUGAAGGUUUUCUAGGCUUGUAGGGUCUUUACAAAAAUAUGUGUAUACAUAUAACUGUUUAUUCCUCUAAGCAAGUCCUAGAUUAUCUUCAUGAUAAACAAGUAUUGUAAAAAAGUGACAAGUUUGUAAAUAAAUCAACAAAAAUACUCCAUCAAUUAUAUGAUAUGUGUACAUGUCAUAACAGUGUAAUUUUGUUGACUUAUGUAUAAAAUUUCCACUUGAUUUGCAAUUUGGGUUUUCUCACAUCUCUCCCCGAUGAAGAUUAUGUUGUGUGGCAAGGUUAAAUGUUUAUAAGAAGCAAAGAGUAGAAAUGGAAAGGUGAAUUUGUAAGCAUGCAUGUAAUAGUUAAUAUAAGAUGUUUAUAUUCAUAUACUUCUCUCCCUUUCCUUUUAAUCGGUUUAAAAUUCAUCUUGAUUUUUAGUUUUCAAAUAUACGAGUAUUAUUUUUGUAUAUUGUUAUUGUUAUACAUAAUUUGCGAUAUUUUAAUUAUAAUAUUGCAUUAAAAAUUGUGUGAAAAGCAAAUCUGAUAAACAAAAGAUGGAGUAUAAAGAAUACAAAUCUUGGGUUUGAAAUAUUCUAAGGAGAUUAUCUCAUUUAAUAGGAUCCACUGAAUGGACAAGUUUAUAAGGUAAUUUUGCAAGUCAAUUUAUUUUGAGUAUUGUUUUUAUACCACCCUCUAUUCCUUAACAUUAUUUCUAGUUUUUAUUCUAGUACUCACUCUGUCAGAAUAACUGAGAUGCUGGACUUUUUUAUUAUUCAUAGGUUCAUUUUGACUAUAGCUUUUUACAAACUAAAUAAAAACAUAUUUUGCCAUGAAAUAAAUUGUUGAAUAAAUAUUAAAAUAAAAUUUCAUAAUAUAAUUUUUCUUCUAAUUUGUACUAGUGUUUACUAUAUAUAAGUAAGGUGAAACUUAUGCAUUGAUAUGUGAGCAAAGUUUGACUGUGUUAAUUAAUUUGGGACAAGGGAGAAAUUUGCUCCCCCCUCCUACUCUUUUCUUUAUUAAUCUAUUAAUGACUCUCUCCUUUUCUCUCUUGUGUGUGGCCAUGUGAGUAAACGGUAAAGACAAGGAUUCAUUAAAGUCAA
This is a long non-coding RNA of Chenopodium quinoa (quinoa), 3943 nucleotides long. RefSeq lists it as uncharacterized. The transcript has 3 exons. The record is from RefSeq and is a predicted model, not a curated record. NCBI's taxonomy places the organism in Eukaryota, Viridiplantae, Streptophyta, Magnoliopsida, Caryophyllales, Amaranthaceae.